Molecule: unclassified non-coding RNA, 378 nt
Filed under: uncultured bacterium
Lineage: Bacteria
Description: contains 16S-23S intergenic spacer region
Source: RNAcentral
UCCGCCUUGUCGACGGCAGUCUCCCUAGAGUGCCCAACUUCAAUUGCUGGCAACUAGGGACAAGGGUUGCGCUCGUUGCGGGACUUAACCCAACAUCUCACGACACGAGCUGACGACAGCCAUGCAGCACCUGUGCACCGAUCCCGAAGGAAGGAUGUGUUUCCACACCUGUCCGGUGCAUGUCAAACCUGGGUAAGGUUCUUCGCGUUGCAUCGAAUUAAACCACAUACUCCACCGCUUGUGCAGGCCCCCGUCAAUUUCUUUGAGUUUUAAUCUUGCGACCGUACUUCCCAGGCGGCACGUUUAACGCGUUAGCUUCGCCACAAAAGGGGUCGAUUCCUUUUACAGCAAACGUGCACCGUUUACGGCUAGGACUAC